GCAGGGUUUCCCGAGCGGUCAAAGGGGAUGGACUCAAAAUCCAUUGCUUAGUGCUUCACAGGUUCGAAUCCUGUACCCUGCA
RNAcentral lists this transfer RNA (82 nucleotides) under archaeon. RNAcentral's name for it is "tRNA-Leu". It matches the Rfam family "tRNA". Rfam says of the family: Transfer RNA (tRNA) molecules are approximately 80 nucleotides in length. RNAcentral also lists the same sequence under 1 other name. The record is from RNAcentral.